AUGGUUCUGCUAUCACUAAGAGAUGGUCCCGCGGUGCAUUAGUUAGUUGGUGAGGUAAUGGCUCACCAAGACGAUGAUGCAUAGCCGAGUUGAGAGACUGAUCGGCCACAAUGGGACUGAGACACGGCCCAUACUCCUACGGGAGGCAGCAGUAGGGAAUCUUCCACAAUGGGCGAAAGCCUGAUGGAGCAACGCCGCGUGUGUGAUGAAGGGUUUCGGCUCGUAAAACACUGUUGUAAGAGAAGAAUGACAUUGAGAGUAACUGUUCAAUGUGUGACGGUAUCUUACCAGAAAGGAACGGCUAAAUACGUGCCAGCAGCCGCGGUAAUACGUAUGUUCCAAGCGUUAUCCGGAUUUAUUGGGCGUAAAGCGAGCGCAGACGGUUAUUUAAGUCUGAAGUGAAAGCCCUCAGCUCAACUGAGGAAUUGCUUUGGAAACUGGAUGACUUGAGUGCAGUAGAGGAAAGUGGAACUCCAUGUGUAGCGGUGAAAUGCGUAGAUAUAUGGAAGAACACCAGUGGCGAAGGCGGCUUUCUGGACUGUAACUGACGUUGAGGCUCGAAAGUGUGGGUAGCAAACAGGAUUAGAUACCCUGGUAGUCCACACCGUAAACGAUGAGUGCUAGGUGUUUGAGGGUUUCCGCCCUUAAGUGCCGCAGCUAACGCAUUAAGCACUCCGCCUGGGGAGUACGACCGCAAGGUUGAAACUCAAAGGAAUUUGACGGGGACCCGCACAAGCGGUGGAGCAUGUGGUUUAAUUCGAAGCAACGCGAAGAACCUUACCAGGUCUUGACAUCCCUUGACAACUCCAGAGAUGGAGCGUUCCCUUCGGGGACAAGGUGACAGGUGGUGCAUGGUUGUCGUCAGCUCGUGUCGUGAGAUGUUGGGUUAAGUCCCGCAACGAGCGCAACCCUUAUUACUAGUUGCCAGCAUUUAGUUGGGCACUCUAGUGAGACUGCCGGUGACAAACCGGAGGAAGGUGGGGAUGACGUCAAAUCAUCAUGCCCCUUAUGACCUGGGCUACACACGUGCUACAAUGGCGUAUACAACGAGUUGCCAACCCGCGAGGGUGAGCUAAUCUCUUAAAGUACGUCUCAGUUCGGAUUGUAGGCUGCAACUCGCCUACAUGAAGUCGGAAUCGCUAGUAAUCGCGGAUCAGCACGCCGCGGUGAAUACGUUCCCGGGUCUUGUACACACCGCCCGUCACACCAUGAGAGUUUGUAACACCCAAAGCCGGUGGGGUAACCUUCGGGAGCCAGCCGUCUAAGGUGGGACAGAUGAUUAGGGUGAAGUCGUAACAAGGUAACCAUAGGGG
RNAcentral lists this ribosomal RNA (1313 nucleotides) under Weissella cibaria. RNAcentral's name for it is "bacterial SSU rRNA". It matches the Rfam family "Bacterial small subunit ribosomal RNA", at positions 202 to 1508 of the family's 1533-position model. Lineage: Bacteria; Bacillati; Bacillota; Bacilli; Lactobacillales; Lactobacillaceae. The record is from RNAcentral.